This 84-nucleotide transfer RNA is filed under the name Candidatus Magasanikbacteria bacterium RIFCSPHIGHO2_01_FULL_41_23. Its description in RNAcentral is "tRNA-Leu". It matches the Rfam family "tRNA". From Rfam's summary of the family: Transfer RNA (tRNA) molecules are approximately 80 nucleotides in length. Their secondary structure includes four short double-helical elements and three loops (D, anti-codon, and T loops). RNAcentral also lists the same sequence under 3 other names. The record is from RNAcentral. Lineage: Bacteria; Candidatus Magasanikiibacteriota.
GGGGAUAUGGUGGAAUUGGUAGACACGUGGCGUUCAGAGCGCCAUGACCGCAAGGCCGUGAGAGUUCGAGUCUCUCUAUCCCCA